This 637-nucleotide ribosomal RNA is filed under the name uncultured Lachnospiraceae bacterium. Its description in RNAcentral is "bacterial SSU rRNA". It matches the Rfam family "Bacterial small subunit ribosomal RNA", at positions 88 to 743 of the family's 1533-position model. Lineage: Bacteria; Bacillati; Bacillota; Clostridia; Lachnospirales; Lachnospiraceae. The record is from RNAcentral.
UGACUGAGCGGCGGACGGGUGAGUAACGCGUGGGUAACCUGCCUCAUACAGGGGAAUAACAGUUAGAAAUGGCUGCUAAUGCCGCAUAAGCGCACAGGACCGCAUGGUCUGGUGUGAAAAACUCCGGUGGUAUGAGAUGGACCCGCGUCUGAUUAGGUAGUUGGCGGGGUAACGGCCCACCAAGCCGACGAUCAGUAGCCGACCUGAGAGGGUGACCGGCCACAUUGGGACUGAGACACGGCCCAGACUCCUACGGGAGGCAGCAGUGGGGAAUAUUGCACAAUGGAGGAAACUCUGAUGCAGCGACGCCGCGUGAAGGAAGAAGUAUCUCGGUAUGUAAACUUCUAUCAGCAGGGAAGAAAAUGACGGUACCUGACUAAGAAGCCCCGGCUAACUACGUGCCAGCAGCCGCGGUAAUACGUAGGGGGCAAGCGUUAUCCGGAUUUACUGGGUGUAAAGGGAGCGUAGACGGACGGGCAAGUCUGAUGUGAAAGCCCGGGGCUUAACCCCGGGACUGCAUUGGAAACUGUCCAUCUUGAGUGCCGGAGAGGUAAGCGGAAUUCCUAGUGUAGCGGUGAAAUGCGUAGAUAUUAGGAGGAACACCAGUGGCGAAGGCGGCUUACUGGACGGUAACUGA